This 249-nucleotide ribosomal RNA is filed under the name uncultured bacterium. RNAcentral describes it as "partial 16S ribosomal RNA". It matches the Rfam family "Bacterial small subunit ribosomal RNA", at positions 93 to 334 of the family's 1533-position model. The record is from RNAcentral.
UAGUGGCGGACGGGUGAGUAACACGUAAGGGACCUGCCCUAGAGUGGGGGAUAGCCUGGGGAAACCGAGGGUAAGCCCGCGUACGGCCGAUCGCAUAGCGGCGAUCGGGGAAAUCGGCCCGUAAGGGCGGAGCUCUGGGAGGGCCUUGCGGCGGAUUAGCUAGUUGGGGGGGUAGUGGCCCACCAAGGCGACGAUCCGUAGCUGGUCUGAGAGGAUGACCAGCCACACCGGGACUGAGACACGGCCCGG